UUAGUAUGAGUACAUCAAUAUAUAUAAGGGCAAAAUAGUCGAUCCUCGAUCUAAACACUGAAUGCAGGAAAGAUAAGAGCAUUUUUAGUAUGUGAUGCUUAAUUACAUUCAAAAAGUAAUUAAUUUUUGAAGUAAUAGAGCCAGCUAAAAUGAUCAUGGAACAAUCAUGGCAAAAAUUCUUCUAUCCACCCAGGUGGGUGGUCACCCAAUAACGUGGCAACAAACUAUGCACGUUGAGGCGACUAACCAAUAUGAACCCUUGGAUAAGCCGUUAGUUAACAAAGACGAAGAAUGUCAGUUUUUGAAACAGAGUUGGCCAAAAACGUUGUUUGUCGACAUUGUAAAAUUCCAAGGGAUGGGUAAACUAGAACUGUGGUUGAUAUUCGAUGUCAGCGACGGGCAAUCCAUACAAGAGGGCUGAUCGAUGUUGCAUUGGAUCUUGGGCGAGGUUUGGUGGUCGUAGGAGGUUGAUAUCCAGAUCUCUCAGGCCAAAAUCGAAGUGGGGUUGGAUGGGCGCAGUCGACGGAAGGUAGUGGUUGGGUUGAGGACGGCGGGACAAUUUCUGUGAGUGGAACACAAUACUAGCCUUGCAGCCUCGUGCAAUCUAUUCACCUUUAAAGUUCUCAAUCUGAAGUGUUUAUAUGGUAUGACUUUGGAGAGAUUGAAUAUGGAGACAAAGGCAACAAUCGUCAGUUAGACGCUUUUGUCGUCAAAUCAAGUUCUACAAUUUCAUCUUCUUUUGAAUCCUCUGGGUUUUUCGAUUCAACAUCAGUCACACUUCGACCUUGAUAUAUCAAGAUUGAUGAACAAAUGGCAUCCUUUGCGAUCUCUGCAACACUUUUGGGUUCACACAACCCGAAAGGUCAAAAGGCCCAGAACCCAGUAACCCAGACAUUGGAUUUCCAGCGACGGGAACUCAGAUUUAAUCUUUCGCCAACUCACAACUGUCGCCGACGACUAAACCAUUGACAUCGGACAACACUAGCAGAUUUGGCUGAUUCCAUCUCUCCUUCCCAAAAGUUUUUAUGGCCAAAGGGGAAAUAUUGGAUUGAUUCAUAUUGUAUAGCACGUGCAAGGCAUUUAAUUACUCUAUUUACUAACCUCCACGUUU
Long non-coding RNA from Rosa rugosa (rugosa rose), 1111 nucleotides. RefSeq lists it as uncharacterized. The transcript is spliced from 2 exons. The record is from RefSeq and is a predicted model, not a curated record. Lineage: Eukaryota; Viridiplantae; Streptophyta; Magnoliopsida; Rosales; Rosaceae.